RNAcentral lists this long non-coding RNA (511 nucleotides) under Mus musculus (house mouse). RNAcentral's name for it is "long non-coding RNA chr11:116087672-116088183". Lineage: Eukaryota; Metazoa; Chordata; Mammalia; Rodentia; Muridae. The record is from RNAcentral.
GCAGAAGUUAAACAGCAGGGUUUAAACAGGACCUAGAAUAAUUGAGUGGACUGACAAAGCACAUGACCAACCGCCAGGUAGGACUUUGAAAAUACCACUGACUCGUUUCUGCUAGUGGGUGUCUCCCCACUGCGCUGUAGUGAAUCUAAACUCCACCUCUGAGUUGUAUCUUUCGCAGGGCUGUCGAGGGUUGGGAGAACUCUUCAGUUUCUGGGUGGCAUCUUAGCGUACCUACCCUUAACCUUAAGACACCAGUGUUUGGUUUGAAGCAGACAGCAUGGUGCCCUACAUCCUGGAACAUUGCCACAGAUUUGAGGCCAGUUUGGGCUGCAUAAUGAUUUCCAGACCAGCCUCAGCUGCAGAGUAAAACAGUUCUGGGAAAUGGCAGGUACAUUAUUAACUCACAGUGCAAGAGACCCUUCUGUUCGCUUUGGGGUUGUUUGUCUGUUUGUUUGUUUGUUUGUUUGUUUGUUUGUUUUUCUAGGUGCACACUAAUAAAAGUCAAAUGGCU